GAUGAACGCUGGCGGCGUGCCUAAUACAUGCAAGUCGAGCGAACAGACGAGGAGCUUGCUCCUUUGACGUUAGCGGCGGACGGGUGAGUAACACGUGGGUAACCUACCUAUAAGACUGGGAUAACUUCGGGAAACCGGAGCUAAUACCGGAUAAUAUUUCGAACCGCAUGGUUCGAUAGUGAAAGAUGGCUUUGCUAUCACUUAUAGAUGGACCUGCGCCGUAUUAGCUAGUUGGUAAGGUAACGGCUUACCAAGGCAACGAUACGUAGCCGACCUGAGAGGGUGAUCGGCCACACUGGAACUGAAACACGGUCCAGACUCCUACGGCAGGCAGCAGGAGGGAAUCUUCCGCAAUGGGCGAAAGCCUGACGGAGCAACGCCGCGUGAGUGAUGAAGGUCUUCGGAUCGUAAAACUCUGUUAUUAGGGAAGAACAAACGUGUAAGUAACUGUGCACGUCUUGACGGUACCUAAUCAGAAAGCAACGGCUAACUACGUG
This 497-nucleotide ribosomal RNA is filed under the name uncultured bacterium. RNAcentral's name for it is "partial 16S ribosomal RNA". It matches the Rfam family "Bacterial small subunit ribosomal RNA", at positions 28 to 507 of the family's 1533-position model. The record is from RNAcentral.